Molecule: long non-coding RNA, 281 nt
Organism: Cyprinus carpio (common carp)
Lineage: Eukaryota; Metazoa; Chordata; Actinopteri; Cypriniformes; Cyprinidae
Exons: 3
Source: RefSeq, a predicted model, not a curated record
CUUUUUAUCGUAAACAGAGCUUUAUAUGCCAUUAACCGACGACAAGGAUGGACGAAUUAAUCUUUUUUCUGAGGGAAAGGAAUAUUCCAGAAACCACCAUAAAAAGGCUGGAGGACGACAAGAUUGAUGUCAGUGUCCUACUGCUAAUGACUGAUGACCAGAUGAGAAGCUAUUUUCCUUCAUAUGGAGACAGACUCGCAGUGAUGGGGUUUUGCAGGAGGCAAGAAAGUGAGCCAACUUGCAGGAAGUCAAAGCUGUUUGAGCGCCUCAAAUCAAAAUUG